RNAcentral lists this ribosomal RNA (2022 nucleotides) under Triticum aestivum (bread wheat). RNAcentral describes it as "partial small subunit ribosomal RNA". Lineage: Eukaryota; Viridiplantae; Streptophyta; Magnoliopsida; Poales; Poaceae. The record is from RNAcentral.
AUGGCGGAGGCGGCGCCGCCGAAGCUGCUCUACAUUGCCGUCGCCGACGGCGGCGGCCGGCGGGCGUUCCGGUACACGCGCCCCGUCCUGCAGAGCACCCUCCAGCUCAUGGGUUGCAAGGCUCGCCACGCCUUCAAGAUUAGCAAGAAAGUAUUCAGUGUGAUGAGGAGUGAAUUCUUGGAUGCAUCGAGGUCGGAUAGGGCUGUCAAAGAAGAAAAUGCUCCUAGCCUGGGCAUUGGGGAAGAUGCUAAUAUGCUUAGCACAGAAAUUCCAGAUGCAAGUAGCAGCAGCAUGCCCUUCGAAUUGUACAAGACACAGACAACAAUUCUUAUUUCAAGAGAAAAGUUUCUGAAUAUUGUGUGUGAUGCACUCUCUUCUUACAAGUAUGUUGGACCAAACCAGAAGGCUGACUUGCUUCUUGCUUGCAGAAUUAAGGAGAAAAAGGAAUCAGUGACAGUACUCUUGUGUGGGACAAGCGGGUGUGGCAAGUCCACUCUAUCAUCUUUGUUGGGUAGUAGAUUGGGCAUUACGACAGUAGUUUCUACUGAUUCCAUACGCCAUAUGAUGAGAAGCUUUGCGGAUGAAAAGCAAAAUCCUCUUCUCUAUGCAUCAACCUACCAUGCAGGCGAAUACUUGGACCCUGUUGCAGUUGCUAAGUCAAAGGCAAAGAAGCUAGCAACGGUUUCUCAUACCAAUGGAGGCAAAGAUGGCACUUCAGAUGUUAAAUCUCAUCAUGGCUCCUCAGAUUUACCUCCUAGAACCGAGUUGAUUGGCAACAAACAAAUGGCAAUAGAAGGGUUCAAGGUGCAAAGCGAGAUGGUCAUUGACAGCCUGGACAGAUUAAUUACAUCAUGGGAGGAGCAGAAGCGAUCUGUUAUUGUUGAAGGAGUUCAUUUGAGCCUCAAUUUUGUGAUGGGGCUAAUGAAGAAACAUCCUUCCAUAAUACCAUUUAUGGUAUACAUUGCAAAUGAGGAGAAGCACAUGGAGCGAUUUGCUGUACGUGCAAAGUACAUGACAUUGGACCCGGCAAAGAACAGAUAUAUCAAGUACAUCCGGAAUAUCCGGGCUAUCCAGGAAUACCUUUGCAACCGAGCGGACAAGCAUCUGGUGCCUAAGAUUAACAAUACUAAUGUUGACCAGAGCGUGGCAGCCAUACAUGCCACAGUUUUCAGCUGUCUUCGUCGACGAGAAGUUGGGGAGCAGUUGUAUGAUCUCAACACAAACACUGUUUCUGUGGUGGAUGAGGAAUACAGGAACCAGCGUGCAUCUAACUCCUUGGGUUCCAAGGGCAUGUUCCAGUUCAUUCAAAGGAAGGGGUCUUCUAGGAAUCUGAUGGCUCUCCUUAACCCUGAUGGUUCAGUCACCAAGGCUUGGCAUGUAGAUUCAUGUGACGGCAAUGCCAAUGGCAGUAGAAGCAGUGAUAAAUCAGUAGGAAAGGUUAACCCAUCACACAUUGGGAAGGUAGAGUCAGUAAAUCUCCAAUUUGGUUCCUUCGGGAUUAGUGCGUGGCUGAGUGAUACAGGUGGCACCAGCCAUACUGGGAGUGUAGAUGACCUGAGGGCUGAUGGCAUUGAGACAGGCGGUAGAUACUUCUCCUCAUGCUGCAGCUCGCCAAAGACAUCAGAUUGCGCAUCCAAAGAGCAUAUGGAGGAUUAUUCAGUCUAUGGUAGUGAAGAAGAAGCUGACAACCCACCUGAUGCUGAAACUGAUGAGGAUCUAACUGAUGAAGAAAGAGAUGUUCAUGAGGUAAUUGAAGCGGGCUCGGUCGACGAGCAUUCCACCAAGUCUGACGAGGAAUACGACGACCUAGCCAUGCAGGACGUCAUGGAGAACGGUAACUGCUCCGACGAUGACGACGAGCAAGCUGUGCGGUUCAGCAAGAGGAGCUCGCCGCCUCUGGAUGAGAGCAUCCUCGGAGCAGCUGACGGUGAUGAUGCCGUGGUGGAGGGAAGGUACCACCACAACCUGGACUUCUUCACGAUAUCCAAGGACAUGGCUGUCACGCGGAUGCCGUGCGCGUGA